RNAcentral lists this ribosomal RNA (484 nucleotides) under uncultured bacterium. Its description in RNAcentral is "partial 16S ribosomal RNA". It matches the Rfam family "Bacterial small subunit ribosomal RNA", at positions 30 to 507 of the family's 1533-position model. The record is from RNAcentral.
AUUGAACGCUGGCGGAAUGCUUUACACAUGCAAGUCGAACGGCAGCACGGGGGCAGCCCUGGUGGCGAGUGGCGAACGGGUGAGUAAUACAUCGGAACGUGCCCGGUCGUGGGGGAUAACGUAGCGAAAGUUACGCUAAUACCGCAUACGAUCUGAGGAUGAAAGCGGGGGACCUUCGGGCCUCGCGCGAUCGGAGCGGCCGAUGUCAGAUUAGGUAGUUGGUGGGGUAAAGGCCUACCAAGCCGACGAUCUGUAGCUGGUCUGAGAGGACGACCAGCCACACUGGGACUGAGACACGGCCCAGACUCCUACGGGAGGCAGCAGUGGGGAAUUUUGGACAAUGGGCGCAAGCCUGAUCCAGCCAUUCCGCGUGCAGGACGAAGGCCUUCGGGUUGUAAACUGCUUUUGUACGGAACGAAAAGGCUCUGGCUAAUACCUGGAGCUCAUGACGGUACCGUAAGAAUAAGCACCGGCUAACUACGUG